GACGAACCGUGCGAACGUUGUUCGGAUUCACUGGGCUUAAAGGGCGCGUAGGCGGGCGGUCAAGUCGGGGGUGAAAUCUUUCAGCUUAACUGGAAAAGUGCCUCCGAUACUGAUCGCCUCGAGGGAGGUAGGGGCAUGUGGAACUUCCGGUGGAGCGGUGAAAUGCGUAGAUAUCGGAAGGAACGUCGGUGGCGAAAGCGACGUGCUGGACCUCUUCUGACGCUGAGGCGCGAAAGCUAGGGGAGCAAACAGG
This 253-nucleotide ribosomal RNA is filed under the name uncultured bacterium. RNAcentral describes it as "partial 16S ribosomal RNA". It matches the Rfam family "Bacterial small subunit ribosomal RNA", at positions 524 to 776 of the family's 1533-position model. The record is from RNAcentral.